This is a small nuclear RNA of Sorex fumeus (smoky shrew), 163 nucleotides long. RefSeq annotates it as U1 spliceosomal RNA. The transcript has a single exon. Lineage: Eukaryota; Metazoa; Chordata; Mammalia; Eulipotyphla; Soricidae. The record is from RefSeq and is a predicted model, not a curated record.
AUACUGACCUGGCAGGGAGAUGCCGUGAUUGUGAAAGUGGUUUUCCCAGGGAGAGGCUUAUACAUUGCACUCCUCAUAUGCUGACCCUUGCGAUUUCCCCAAAUGUUGAUAACUCAACUGCAUAUUUUGUUAUAGUGGGGGACUAUGUUUACACUCUCCCCUG